Molecule: long non-coding RNA, 418 nt
Filed under: Ananas comosus (pineapple)
Lineage: Eukaryota; Viridiplantae; Streptophyta; Magnoliopsida; Poales; Bromeliaceae
Description: long non-coding RNA (ACOM_LNC009535)
Source: RNAcentral
UUUUUGGAUACUUAGAGAUUUUAAGGUCAAAACUUUAUUACUUUACAUUUAUAAUUGUUUUUAUUUCUAAAGUUUUUUUAAAAAAAAUUUGAACGAAGCGAGGUUAUUUGCUACCGUUCUCUCUAAAAAAAAAAAAAAUGGAAAACAAAAAUAUUAUGCCUUUUCUAAUAAAUAUCACACAUACUAUUUUGGUAACAGAUAAUUUCAUAUAGAAUAUGCAUCACAUCAAUUGCAUUAAUCAAGAAAUGUAAUUUACAUUAACCGAUAUGUGUAAAAAAAUGAAAAAAAAAAAGUUUAUGUACUAUUACAUAAGAAGGCAAUAUUUUGUGCCGUGUUCAUUUUUGCUUAUAUUACCAACUACAUAUUUUUAUUUUUACAAAAUAAAAAAUUAAAUAAAUAAAUAAAAAUAAAAAUAAAA